AACGAACGCUGGCGGCAUGCCUAACACAUGCAAGUCGAACGAGACCUUCGGGUCUAGUGGCGCACGGGUGCGUAACGCGUGGGAAACUGCCCUUAGGUUCGGAAUAACUCCCCGAAAGGGGUGCUAAUACCGGAUAAUGUCUUCGGACCAAAGAUUUAUCGCCUUUGGAUGGGCCCGCGUUGGAUUAGCUAGUUGGUAGGGUAAAAGCCUACCAAGGCGACGAUCCAUAGCUGGUCUGAGAGGAUGAUCAGCCACACUGGGACUGAGACACGGCCCAGACUCCUACGGGAGGCAGCAGUGGGGAAUAUUGGACAAUGGGCGAAAGCCUGAUCCAGCAAUGCUGCGUGAGUGAUGAAGGCCUUAGGGUUGUAAAGCUCGUUUACCCGGGAUGAUAAUGACAGUACCGGGAGAAUAAGCUCCGGCUAACUCCGUG
This 433-nucleotide ribosomal RNA is filed under the name uncultured bacterium. RNAcentral describes it as "partial 16S ribosomal RNA". It matches the Rfam family "Bacterial small subunit ribosomal RNA", at positions 29 to 507 of the family's 1533-position model. The record is from RNAcentral.